This is a long non-coding RNA of Dermacentor silvarum, 341 nucleotides long. RefSeq lists it as uncharacterized. The record is from RefSeq and is a predicted model, not a curated record. Lineage: Eukaryota; Metazoa; Arthropoda; Arachnida; Ixodida; Ixodidae. The transcript has 3 exons.
UAGGUACCUAGGCCAGACUUUGUCCAAAGAUGAGGUUUUUCUCUGUCACACGUGUCAUUGUGCUCUUGGCCGUCGGUGUGGCCCUGAGCUUCGGGACCACGGAGGAAAGCAAGGAGGCACAUCUUCUAGUCCGUCGGGCAACUGUUUGUCCAGACUUCAGCGCCUGUAUUAGAAGUUGCCAGAGCCAGGGCAAGAGCGGAGGCAUGUGCAUGCCACCUUUGUUUAUUUACUGCAUGUGCAUCUAGACAAGGACCAUGCCCGAAACGGUUGGUACGGAAGUCUCGCUGAAGGUCACUGGCCCACUUUCAACGAGGAGCUGUCUUAGCACGUUGCAAUAAAUG